Molecule: long non-coding RNA, 206 nt
Filed under: Gallus gallus (chicken)
Lineage: Eukaryota; Metazoa; Chordata; Aves; Galliformes; Phasianidae
Description: long non-coding RNA NONGGAT003683
Source: RNAcentral
CAGCUCAGUACAUAAUUAAGAAGCCCUGGAGCCUGGGACAGCCUUUUAUCUUGAAAAGUGGCUCUUCCAGACCCUACCAAUCCCUGCACCCAGCACUGGGUUUGGCCAGUGAGUAAUGGAAAAGCAAGGGAACGCCGAGGAAUCGAAGACAGUGUGCUGAAGAGAUGAGAAAGGACAAUACGAGUCAUGGUGAACCUUGACAUUCC